Molecule: ribosomal RNA, 425 nt
Filed under: uncultured bacterium
Lineage: Bacteria
Description: bacterial SSU rRNA
Rfam family: Bacterial small subunit ribosomal RNA
Source: RNAcentral
CUCAACCGAGGAAGGGCCUGGGAAACCACUGGGCUGGAGUGCUGGAGAGGGAAGCGGAAUUCCCGGUGUAGCGGUGAAAUGCGUAGAUAUCGGGAGGAACAUCGGAGGCGAAGGCGGCUUCCUGGACAGACACUGACGCUGAGGCGCGAAAGCCAGGGGAGCAAACGGGAUUAGAUACCCCGGUAGUCCUGGCUGUAAACGAUGGGUACUUGAUGUGGGGGGGAAAAAGGUCCCUCCGUGUCGACGCUAACGCGAUAAGUACCCCGCCUGGGGAGUACGGCCGCAAGGCUGAAACUCAAAGGAAUUGACGGGGGCCCGCACAAGCGGUGGAGUAUGUGGUUUAAUUCGACGCAACGCGAAGAACCUUACCGGGGUUUGAACGGGCACUGCCAGGGGCAGAGAUGUCCCGUUCCUUUCGGGGACGG